Molecule: long non-coding RNA, 682 nt
Filed under: Helianthus annuus (common sunflower)
Lineage: Eukaryota; Viridiplantae; Streptophyta; Magnoliopsida; Asterales; Asteraceae
Description: hypothetical non coding rna
Source: RNAcentral
GUGUCUAACAAAGUAAUACGAUCCUUGUCCACAACGACCGGCUCCUUUUUGUGCAAGCUCCAUGUACCUAACGAUCUGCAAGGCAUGUAACAGAAUGAUCAACAAACUAGUUGAGCGAAUUCACAGUAAGUAAGUGCGUAACAGUAAGUAACGGGUGGCUCUACUGGGCCGAUAGUAAGUUGUAUAGGUGGGGGCUUCCCAUGUUAUGUGGGGGCUUCCCAUGUUAUGUGACCACUAGACUAUUCGUAUCAACUACUCGUAUCAUCCCUGUUCUUCUUCCGAGAACAGUAGCGCGUAUGGGGUGUACGUAGGUUUUACGCACGUAUCCUUCACAACCGAGGAUAGGAGACGCGGGGGUGUACAUGGGUUUCACGUACGUAUCCUUUGUACCGAGGAUAGAAGUAAGAAAUGCGUACACGUAGGUUUUACGUGCGUGCCUGACAUCCGAGGCAGUAAUUGGCAUAUGACCACGUAGGUGUUAUCCUAACCUACGGAACCGUCCUGACAUCCGAGGAUCAUGGUAGGUGAUAGUCUAGGAAAAGCAUAUGUACGUUCUUAGUCAAUUGUAACCUUUAUCCCAUUCCCACGACCCGGGAAUCCCAUGCCUUAGUAGGAGUGUGAACUCACCUGGGUUUGCUCGGCAGACAGUAAAAUGCUCAAGUAUACAAGUAAGGGAUCAACC